Molecule: transfer RNA, 36 nt
Filed under: Bavayia ornata
Lineage: Eukaryota; Metazoa; Chordata; Lepidosauria; Squamata; Diplodactylidae
Description: tRNA-Tyr
Source: RNAcentral
AGUCCUGUUUAUGUAGGUUUAAAUCCUGUCUCUAUU